Molecule: ribosomal RNA, 310 nt
Filed under: uncultured bacterium
Lineage: Bacteria
Description: bacterial SSU rRNA
Rfam family: Bacterial small subunit ribosomal RNA
Source: RNAcentral
AUUGAACGCUGGCGGCAUGCCUAACACAUGCAAGUCGAACGGCAGCACAGCAGAGCUUGCUCUGUGGGUGGCGAGUGGCGGACGGGUGAGUAAUGCAUCGGGACCUACCCAGACGUGGGGGAUAACGUAGGGAAACUUACGCUAAUACCGCAUACGUCCUACGGGAGAAAGCGGGGGACCUUCGGGCCUCGCGCGGUUGGAUGGACCGAUGUUCGAUUAGCUAGUUGGUAGGGUAAUGGCCUACCAAGGCGACGAUCGAUAGCUGGUCUGAGAGGAUGAUCAGCCACACUGGGACUGAGACACGGCCCAG